CGGGGCUGGGGGCGGGGCGGGGCUAGGGCCCCCCCGAUGGGCGGGGCCGGGGCGGGGCUGGGGCCCUGGUGGGCGGGGCGGGGCCGGCGCGGGGGCGGGGCUGGAGCCCCGGUGGGCGGCGCGGGGCGGGGGCCGGGGCUGGGGCCGGAGCGCGCCGGGCGCCGGAGGACUCGCCGCUGACGGAGCCGCGCCGCGGUGCCUGCCUGUCCGCCCGCCGUCCCCGCGGCCCCGCGCAGCCCGCCCGGCGGGGGAGGCGCCGCGCACCGGGACGAUGGUCUGCAGGGCUGUGUUCGCGCUCUGCGUCCUCGCGGCAGUGACUUUUGUGCAAAUGGAUCAUCAG
This 340-nucleotide long non-coding RNA is filed under the name Canis lupus familiaris (dog). Its description in RNAcentral is "lncRNA (ENSCAFG00030017174.1)". Lineage: Eukaryota; Metazoa; Chordata; Mammalia; Carnivora; Canidae. The record is from RNAcentral.